GUUGGUUCGACCUUAAGCCGGUGGGCGAACCCGCAAGGGACGCAGCCGACCACGGUCGGGUCAGCGACUGGGGUGAAGUCGUAACAAGGUAGCCGUAGGUGAACCUGCAGAAGGAUCA
Molecule: ribosomal RNA, 118 nt
Filed under: uncultured eukaryote
Lineage: Eukaryota
Description: partial small subunit ribosomal RNA
Rfam family: Bacterial small subunit ribosomal RNA
Source: RNAcentral